GAUGAACGCCGGCGGUGUGCCUAAUACAUGCAAGUCGAACGCGUUGGUCCAAUUGAUUGAUGGUGCUUGCACCUGAUUGAUUUUGGUCGCCAACGAGUGGCGGACGGGUGAGUAACACGUAGGUAACCUGCCCAGAAGCGGGGGACAACAUUUGGAAACAGAUGCUAAUACCGCAUAACAACGUUGUUCGCAUGAACAACGCUUAAAAGAUGGCUUCUCGCUAUCACUUCUGGAUGGACCUGCGGUGCAUUAGCUUGUUGGUGGGGUAAUGGCCUACCAAGGCGAUGAUGCAUAGCCGAGUUGAGAGACUGAUCGGCCACAAUGGGACUGAGACACGGCCCAUACUCCUACGGGAGGCAGCAGUAGGGAAUCUUCCACAAUGGGCGCAAGCCUGAUGGAGCAACACCGCGUGAGUGAAGAAGGGUUUCGGCUCGUAAAGCUCUGUUGUUAAAGAAGAACACGUAUGAGAGUAACUGUUCAUACGUUGACGGUAUUUAACCAGAAAGUCACGGCUAACUACGUGCCAGCAGCCGCGGUAAUACGUAGGUGGCAAGCGUUAUCCGGAUUUAUUGGGGCGUAAAGAGAGUGCAGGCGGUUUUCUAAGUCUGAUGUGAAAGCCUUCGGCUUAACCGGAGAAGUGCAUCGGAAACUGGAUAACUUGAGUGCAGAAGAGGGUAGUGGAACUCCAUGUGUAGCGGUGGAAUGCGUAGAUAUAUGGAAGAACACCAGUGGCGAAGGCGGCUACUUGGUCUGCAACUGACGCUGAGACUCGAAAGCAUGGGUAGCGAACAGG
This 793-nucleotide ribosomal RNA is filed under the name uncultured Lactobacillus sp. RNAcentral describes it as "bacterial SSU rRNA". It matches the Rfam family "Bacterial small subunit ribosomal RNA", at positions 28 to 776 of the family's 1533-position model. Lineage: Bacteria; Bacillati; Bacillota; Bacilli; Lactobacillales; Lactobacillaceae. The record is from RNAcentral.